GUGAAAAGAAAAGCACCAAAAAGAGAAAAGAAAAUUACAAAAGGCAGACCAAGAAUGAAUCUCCGAGCAAUGUCUGGAAGAUGAUUUUAUUUGCACUGAUAUUCUAUCUAGGAGUGUUUCACUCUCUUUCGAACCUUCCUUUAUCGAAUCCCCUACUUUAUGGAAUU
This 167-nucleotide non-coding RNA is filed under the name Thalassiosira rotula. Lineage: Eukaryota; Bacillariophyta; Thalassiosirophyceae; Thalassiosirales; Thalassiosiraceae. The record is from RNAcentral.